This 451-nucleotide ribosomal RNA is filed under the name uncultured organism. RNAcentral describes it as "partial 16S ribosomal RNA". It matches the Rfam family "Bacterial small subunit ribosomal RNA", at positions 334 to 801 of the family's 1533-position model. The record is from RNAcentral.
CACUCCUACGGGAGGCAGCAGUGGGGAAUAUUGGACAAUGGGCGCAAGCCUGAUCCAGCCAUGCCGCGUGAGUGAUGAAGGCCCUAGGGUUGUAAAGCUCUUUCACCGGUGAAGAUAAUGACGGUAACCGGAGAAGAAGCCCCGGCUAACUUCGUGCCAGCAGCCGCGGUAAUACGAAGGGGGCUAGCGUUGUUCGGAUUUACUGGGCGUAAAGCGCACGUAGGCGGACUAUUAAGUCAGGGGUGAAAUCCCGGGGCUCAACCCCGGAACUGCCUUGGAUACUGGUAGUCUUGAGUUCGAGAGAGGUGAGUGGAAUUCCGAGUGUAGAGGUGAAAUUCGUAGAUAUUCGGAGGAACACCAGUGGCGAAGGCGGCUCACUGGCUCGAUACUGACGCUGAGGUGCGAAAGCGUGGGGAGCAAACAGGAUUAGAAACCCGGGUAGUCCCAUGAU